This 960-nucleotide ribosomal RNA is filed under the name uncultured eukaryote. RNAcentral describes it as "bacterial SSU rRNA". It matches the Rfam family "Eukaryotic small subunit ribosomal RNA", at positions 574 to 1386 of the family's 1831-position model. The record is from RNAcentral.
CCGCGGUAUUCCAGCUCCAAUAGCGUAUAUUAAUGCUGCUGCUGUUAAAAAGCUCGUAGUUGGAUCAAGAGCUCGGCAGUGCUCAGGACCCCAGGGUUCGGCUUCGUGUCGUCCUUGUGGGAACUCUCUUGGGCAUUUCCGCUGCCGACUCUAAAGUGCUGAAACGGUUCCCUGCGAAAAGGUUCCUUCAUUGGGACUAAAGCAUUCCGCAUAAACCAUGUGCAGGUCGGGACGUCGGCAACUGUUACUGUGAACAAACCAGCGUGUCCAAAGCAGGCUAUCGCCUCUAUGUUCGAGCAUGGAAUAGCAAGGGAGCGAUUUACUCGGUCCUCUUUGUUGGUUUCUAUCCCGAGAAGGAGUAAUCGUGACCACGAUUUCCGAGUUGGGAUAUCAUGCCUUUUGGUUUGCCUCAACUUGGGUCGUGUUCUACCCGGGAUCAAUAGGGAUUAUCGGGGUCGUAUCUACUAUGACGUCAGAGGUGAAAUUCUUAGAUCGUCGUAAGAGAAGCUUCUGCGAAAGCAUUCGACAAGAAUGUCUUCAUUAAUCAAGAACGAGAGUGUGGGGAUCGAAGAUGAUCAGAUACCGUCGUAGUCCACCACUGUAAACAAUGCCAUCUCAGGAUCAACGAGCGAAUUCAACGACCUCGAUGGCACUUACCCCUGAGACGAGAAAUCAAAGAUUAUGGGUUCAGGGGGGAGUACAAUCGCAAGGCUGAAACUUAAAGGAAUUGACGGAAUGACACCACCAGGCGUGGAGUAUGCGGCUUAAUUUGACUCAACACGGGAAAUUUUACUAGGUCAGGACAGUGUAAGGAUUGACAGAUUGAGAGCUCUUUCUCGAUCCAUUGUAUGGUGGUGCAUGGCCGCUCCUGGUUGGUGGAGUGAUUUGUCUGGUUGAUUCCGUUAACGAACGAGAUCUCGACUCAUAAAUAGGUGCCAGUGUCGUUUUGUAGUCUGAUCA